GAACACUGGCCACAUACACAGCACCAGGAGAGGGUGUGGGAAGGUGCGCAGGGCCCUCGAGGUUCGCCAGGGCAGGCUGAGAAGCGAGGCAAGGCCUGGGGAUAGAACAGAGCACCUCAAAGGACUACCAGUGUUCCAGGGAACAGACACUGGAGAAGGAUGACCCAGGACCCAAGGCCAUACCCCACAGCACAGCUUCUCAGCACUCAAGUUACCUGGACAAACAGGAUAAAACCGCCAACAAAGAUCAAAGCCAUGGGCAGCGGAGAUGUUUCCAACAACGACCUAGAGACCUCAGAGCCCUAAACAAGCAGUAUGUCGCCAGGUCACCCACCCGAUCACAUCUAAAAUGCAUCAGCUUCAAAAACCUAACUAAAGCACUUGCUCAUCUAAUGACCGUCAGCAGCGGGGAGAGGGUGAGAGCUGAGACAAGCAGAACCUGAUCCUGCCCAACUCCAGUGACUGGACUCUGACCACAGCCGCCCUGUGUCUUUCCUCUGCCCGCCACUGUGACCUCGGGCAGGCGGGAGGAGGGGAGUGAAGAGUAAUGCAGCAGGUGGGUCCAGGGCACAUCUGCUAUAACGUCACCGCUUCCCUUAGCUGGGGACCGCAUGAGACAGACACAUCCAUCUUGGGCCAAGGGUUUAAAUGAAAAUCGGUACGUGGAAAAAGAUGCUUCCACAACUGGCCCAUUCUCAAGCUUACAUCACGCAAGAGGAGACAAGCAGUUUACUUAAACCAAGGCUGUCUGUACCUGGGACAGUCAUCGGCAGGGGCCUGACGAGGUCCGGGUGCCUCAGUGGGUUCCCAGGGUACACAAACCACUCCUUCACCGCAGGGCAGCUGCUGAUGCCAUCUGCAGAAACACAGCAGGGUUAGUAGAGGCACAAGAGGAGACAGUAGAGAACUGUGUGGGGUAAUAAAAAGGGGAUAUUAAAAA
Long non-coding RNA from Microcebus murinus (gray mouse lemur), 940 nucleotides. RefSeq lists it as uncharacterized. Lineage: Eukaryota; Metazoa; Chordata; Mammalia; Primates; Cheirogaleidae. The record is from RefSeq and is a predicted model, not a curated record.